CAGAGUAGGUGUUGGAGAGAGAGCUCAUU
RNAcentral lists this non-coding RNA (29 nucleotides) under Cricetulus griseus (Chinese hamster). The record is from RNAcentral. Lineage: Eukaryota; Metazoa; Chordata; Mammalia; Rodentia; Cricetidae.